UCAGUCCGUCCAUGGCCACUGCUCAGCGCAGCACCACCCCGUCCUCCCUCGUCAGCCGCCGCCGAUCUUCUCGCUGGGGUGGAGCAGUAGGGGAUCCCGCCAGAUCCGACCUGCAGGCAAAGGGCGACGGCGGGGGCGCUUGAUUCGAUCCUGCGCCACAGGUCCGUGCAGGAGAGAGAGGAGGGAGAAAGAGAGAGCAAAGAGGAGUGGCUGAUGACGAGAGGAGGGAGAAAGAGAGAGGAAAUAGGAGAGGGAGGCUCGGCAGCGGACGGGACAGGGUCGCCGGCCGGUGUCGGCCUGCGCCGGCGAGUUCGCUCGCCCAGCUGCCAAAUAGGGAAAGGCGACGGGACCGGCAUUCGGGGCGGCGGCGGCGGCGGGACUGCAGGAACUGGCCGAGGUGAUCCUCGUCAAACAAGCGGGCGGCAGCAAGAUUUCUUCAUUGGUUGAUUUGAUUUGGGGCUGAUUUUCCCCUGGAUUCCUUCCUCUUAUAGUUCCUUUCCAACUUGUUGUUCAUGGCUUGCUUCCCAACCACAGGUGCUCCCCACGGUGAGGAACGGACGCGCUCAACGCCUUCCUUCCCAACCAGAUAUGAGAAAGAAGAAAUAGGACCAAGAAAAUUAGUUGCUCAUAUAUUCAUGUGUCGUGCAGAGAAGAAACCGAAUGGAGAACUUGGUAUGCCGAGUAAUGUGCAGGUUGCUUUUGUCCUCUCAUCUGCUGUUUGGUCUUCGUCUAUUGCUCUGCUGGCUCGUCAUCACCUUGGUUGGAGAUGAACACUCCUAUAUCGCAAUGAAAGGCAAGGACAAGCUCCUGUGACUAAAUACCUAGCAAAUCACCGUGCCUAGGAACUCUCGUCGCAAGCUCUUCACUUCGCCUUCCAAAACCAAGGGAACUACAUCAUCUGCGGCUGUGCCUAAAGAUCCUACCCAAACUGCAGAAACUGCUUUUGCUGGAGAUGUUGUUGACCCUGCAUCCAAAACAAAUGAAACUAAGCAAGAUGCUGCUGCUGCAGCUACUGAAGAUGUGAAGAAUGUGCAAUCUGAUCAGACUAAUCGAACAUAUAAACCCUGCUGGGCUACCUGCCCAGCGAGGGCACUUCCGUGCGCUGCUGCUUCAGGCCGUUUGAUAUUUUUACCGUACUGUGUUUUUUGAUGCUGGCACUCAGUCAACCGGUCGUUCGUUUUGUACGUUGCUGGAUGAUUUUCUAAUCACUUCAUUUUUUUUCCAGCUGAGAUCUGCUUGCAGUUUACUAAAUUGUUACCAGACUUCAAAUGUACUACCUAGCAGACUAGCAAGUGUAUAUGAUGACUCCUUUUAUCGUUGAUGAAGGAAUUGGGAUUUCUUUAAGGGAAAUGAUAACAAUGGUGUAUGAAAUGGUAA
This is an RNA transcript of Aegilops tauschii subsp. strangulata, 1377 nucleotides long. RefSeq lists it as uncharacterized. NCBI's taxonomy places the organism in Eukaryota, Viridiplantae, Streptophyta, Magnoliopsida, Poales, Poaceae. The record is from RefSeq and is a predicted model, not a curated record.